GACGUAGGGGGCAAGCGUUGUCCGGAAUUAUUGGGCGUAAAGAGCUUGUAGGCGGUUUGUCGCGUCUGCCGUGAAAUUUCGAGGCUCAACCUCGAACUUGCGGUGGGUACGGGCAGACUAGAGUGUGGUAGGGGAGACUGGAAUUCCUGGUGUAGCGGUGAAAUGCGUAGAUAUCAGGAGGAACACCUGCGGUGUAGACGGCUUUCUGGACCAUUGCUGACGCUGAGACACGAAAGCGUGGGUAGCAAACAGG
RNAcentral lists this ribosomal RNA (253 nucleotides) under uncultured bacterium. RNAcentral describes it as "partial 16S ribosomal RNA". It matches the Rfam family "Bacterial small subunit ribosomal RNA", at positions 524 to 776 of the family's 1533-position model. The record is from RNAcentral.